Oryctolagus cuniculus (rabbit) is the source of this 986-nucleotide non-coding RNA. The record is from RefSeq and is a predicted model, not a curated record. Lineage: Eukaryota; Metazoa; Chordata; Mammalia; Lagomorpha; Leporidae.
AUUCACAUGUGUUUGAUGUGGUCUCUCUCUCUUUCUCUCUCUCUGUGUCUUCCUCUCUCAUUUUCUGUCUCUUACUCUUGUCAGUUAUUUCAAAUGUGUAUUAGUAGUACCUCUGUUCCUUCCUGGCUUCUAUUUCUGGAACAUUUUGGUCCUGAAAUUCUAAAAAAGUGUCUGGUUCAAACAUAGUUAAUUAGAGGAUUUUAUGGCUCUCAUGAUACCCUGCUGUACACCAUAGGAGCCAAAACCAUGGACAAAUUAUUCUUCUGAAUUUAAAUGCCAAAAUUUAACUUCAAAGACAUUAUGAAUUAUUGAAAAGACUUCAAAAAGCUUUUCUUGUGAUUUCUAAUAAUUCAAGGUAGUGCUGAAUAUUUUCAACUCGGAUUAUUUGCCAUCACAUUUGAAACUUUUCUGGGUAAACAGAGUACCUAUAAGUGGAAUUUCAAGAUAUUAUGGGUUGGAGUGAAGUGAUUGAUGCUGUGAGGUGUAUGGACUAAAGUCUGCAAUACCAGUUCUGCCUUGUGAAUUAUAAAUCUUCAAUACAGGAAUAGCAAGUUUCUUCUGAAAAAUUUUCAGUAAUUGUCCCUUUGUUGUGGGCGAGGUUGGGCCUAAAUGAAUUUUCCAGACUCUUCCUGUUUACUUAGAGAAGAAUUCCAAGUACAGGCGCAAACGCAGAGUGCAGUGUGAUAAACAGAAUAAUACACAGGCACAUGAAGGCUUUGCUUAGGGAGAGUGGCCAGGGGAGGCAAAGGAGAAUUUUGCUACCCUGCUCUGCUAGUCCUUGGUCCAUAGGAAGGACAACAUGAGCUUUCAUUCUACCUGGCUUUUUAUGAGCGUAGACACACGGAAAGUGUUAACACAGUACCACCCCUCCUUCUGCUUAAGAGAAGGUACUUCCUGGGAAGGGGUCCCCAGAUUGGCAGGGAGGUGAGCACUGCAAAACAGAGUGAGGGAGGUGAGGCUUUCAGCUCAUGAACUUAAGAUUAUUU